This 207-nucleotide ribosomal RNA is filed under the name uncultured Alphaproteobacteria bacterium. RNAcentral's name for it is "partial 16S ribosomal RNA". It matches the Rfam family "Bacterial small subunit ribosomal RNA", at positions 568 to 774 of the family's 1533-position model. The record is from RNAcentral. Lineage: Bacteria; Pseudomonadati; Pseudomonadota; Alphaproteobacteria.
UGCGUAGGCGGAUAUGAAAGUCAGAAGUGAAAGCCCAGGGCUUAACCCUGGAAUUGCUUUUGAAACUUCAUAUCUAGAGUUCUGGAGAGGCAAGGGGAAUUCCGAGUGUAGAGGUGAAAUUCGCAGAUAUUCGGAGGAACACCAGUGGCGUAGGCGCCUUGCUGGACAGAUACUGACGCUGAGGCACGAAAGCGUGGGGAGCAAACA